Non-coding RNA from Phialocephala subalpina, 70 nucleotides. The record is from the annotation of a GenBank genome assembly. Lineage: Eukaryota; Fungi; Ascomycota; Leotiomycetes; Helotiales; Mollisiaceae.
GGAGGCGUAGCUUAGUGGUUAAAGCGCACGAGAAGAUCAUGAGCCGUUGGUUCGAUUCCAACCACUUCCA